This 504-nucleotide ribosomal RNA is filed under the name uncultured bacterium. RNAcentral's name for it is "partial 16S ribosomal RNA". It matches the Rfam family "Bacterial small subunit ribosomal RNA", at positions 28 to 506 of the family's 1533-position model. The record is from RNAcentral.
GACGAACGCUGGCGGCGUGCCUAAUACAUGCAAGUAGAACGCACAGUUUAUACCGUAGCUUGCUACACCAUAGACUGUGAGUUGCGAACGGGUGAGUAACGCGUAGGUAACCUGCCUGGUAGCGGGGGAUAACUAUUGGAAACGAUAGCUAAUACCGCAUAAUAUUAAUUAUUGCAUGAUAAUUAAUUGAAAGGUGCAAUUGCACCACUACCAGAUGGACCUGCGUUGCAUUAGCUAGUAGGUGAGGUAACGGCUCACCUAGGCGACGAUACAUAGCCGACCUGAGAGGGUGAUCGGCCACACUGGGACUGAGACACGGCCCAGACUCCUACGGGAGGCAGCAGUAGGGAAUCUUCGGCAAUGGACGAAAGUCUGACCGAGCAACGCCGCGUGAGUGAAGAAGGUUUUCGGAUCGUAAAGCUCUGUUGUAAGAGAAGAACGGGUGUGAGAGUGGAAAGUUCACACUGUGACGGUAUCUUACCAGAAAGGGACGGCUAACUACGU